GAUGAACGCUGGCGGCGUGCCUAAUACAUGCAAGUCGAGCGAACGGACGAGAAGCUUGCUUCUCUGAUGUUAGCGGCGGACGGGUGAGUAACACGUGGAUAACCUACCUAUAAGACUGGGAUAACUUCGGGAAACCGGAGCUAAUACCGGAUAAUAUUUUGAACCGCAUGGUUCAAAAGUGAAAGACGGUCUUGCUGUCACUUAUAGAUGGAUCCGCGCUGCAUUAGCUAGUUGGUAAGGUAACGGCUUACCAAGGCAACGAUGCAUAGCCGACCUGAGAGGGUGAUCGGCCACACUGGAACUGAGACACGGUCCAGACUCCUACGGGAGGCAGCAGUAGGGAAUCUUCCGCAAUGGGCGAAAGCCUGACGGAGCAACGCCGCGUGAGUGAUGAAGGUCUUCGGAUCGUAAAACUCUGUUAUUAGGGAAGAACAUAUGUGUAAGUAACUGUGCACAUCUUGACGGUACCUAAUCAGAAAGCCACGGCUAACUACGUGCCAGCAGCCGCGGUAAUACGUAGGUGGCAAGCGUUAUCCGGAAUUAUUGGGCGUAAAGCGCGCGUAGGCGGUUUUUUAAGUCUGAUGUGAAAGCCCACGGCUCAACCGUGGAGGGUCAUUGGAAACUGGAAAACUUGAGUGCAGAAGAGGAAAGUGGAAUUCCAUGUGUAGCGGUGAAAUGCGCAGAGAUAUGGAGGAACACCAGUGGCGAAGGCGACUUUCUGGUCUGUAACUGACGCUGAUGUGCGAAAGCGUGGGGAUCAAACAGGAUUAGAUACCCUGGUAGUCCACGCCGUAAACGAUGAGUGCUAAGUGUUAGGGGGUUUCCGCCCCUUAGUGCUGCAGCUAACGCAUUAAGCACUCCGCCUGGGGAGUACGACCGCAAGGUUGAAACUCAAAGGAAUUGACGGGGACCCGCACAAGCGGUGGAGCAUGUGGUUUAAUUCGAAGCAACGCGAAGAACCUUACCAAAUCUUGACAUCCUUUGACAACUCUAGAGAUAGAGCUUUCCCCUUCGGGGGACAAAGUGACAGGUGGUGCAUGGUUGUCGUCAGCUCGUGUCGUGAGAUGUUGGGUUAAGUCCCGCAACGAGCGCAACCCUUAAGCUUAGUUGCCAUCAUUAAGUUGGGCACUCUAAGUUGACUGCCGGUGACAAACCGGAGGAAGGUGGGGAUGACGUCAAAUCAUCAUGCCCCUUAUGAUUUGGGCUACGCACGUGCUACAAUGGACAAUACAAAGGGCAGCGAAACCGCGAGGUCAAGCAAAUCCCAUAAAGUUGUUCUCAGUUCGGAUUGUAGUCUGCAACUCGACUACAUGAAGCUGGAAUCGCUAGUAAUCGUAGACCAGCAUGCUACGGUGAAUACGUUCCCGGGUCU
This 1372-nucleotide ribosomal RNA is filed under the name uncultured bacterium. RNAcentral's name for it is "bacterial SSU rRNA". It matches the Rfam family "Bacterial small subunit ribosomal RNA", at positions 28 to 1381 of the family's 1533-position model. The record is from RNAcentral.